AUGCUGAAGUGUAUUUCCGAGAUCAAAUGAUCACAUCACCCAUACACCAGUUCACUUAUGACAAAGCUUGUGGUAAAUGAUUAUAUGAGACUGUACUUGCCCAAGGAGAUUGAGUACAAGAAUCCUCGUAAGAGGGAUGGCUUGUGGGCCUUUGCUUUUUCUCUGGAAUCCAAGUCUGCGACUAAACCCACAUUCAGGUGUCUAGCUUGCAGCCUGAAGGUCUUCAGUUCAGCAACUAUCCAAGACAUUCGCUUGCACCUAGAACAGUGCCCUGGAAUGACGUCCCCAUAUGUUACUGAAUUGUUUGAAUACUUCAAUACCAUAAAGAAUUUGAGUGCUGGGAAUCAACCUGCGCAACUUGCAAAGGCUGCUGGGAAGAGGCAACGGGUUGAUUCCACCGCAGCCGCUGGCAACUCCUUCAAUGCUGAUAGGCAGUAUUCCUUUCCAGAUCUACAAAGAGAGGUGCAAGGUGCCGAAGAACUAUUCACAGAGAUUGAUAAUGAAGUGCAUGAAGUCGUUGACAUGUACAAUGACAUGGGAACAAAGGUGGGAACAAUUCUUGGGUUGUUCGAUAGGUUGAGACCCAAAUUCAAGAAGAUGAAAGGUCUGGCAUGUGCUGGUCAUUCAGGUGUGCCUUCUGUAGCAGCAGUCACACAUCUUUUUGCUACGGAACCCGUCUCCACAAGGGACGAUGAAGGUGCACAUGAUACUCCUGCAAACAAUGCGAUCGUCGAUGAAACAAAGGCUGUCAGUGCUACCCAAGUUCAGUCUGAUGGCAACUGUUUUUCUGAUGAAGUGAUGAGCAUACACGAAAUUCCCAGGAGUGCCAGUGAUCCAGUAUAUGAACUGGCUGAUGUUGAAGAAGAUGAUGAUGCUGAUGAUGAUAGUGCCGCCAAGGAAAAGGACAAUGAGAUGGACACAUCGGAAUACACCGGGAACCCAUCCAACCAUCCGUCGUCUAGUUCUGCCCCGGCGAAUAACACUAAUGUGACUCAAGUUCAACAACAGGAGCUGCCGACUGUUGGCUCUGGUGGUGCGACGGGAGGUGGUCCUGUGUUGUUGACAGUCACUUCGUUUAACUCUGCACCGCAGACACCGAGAGGCAUGGAGCUUGCCGCGGAUCUUAGAGUCAAUUCCACGUUACCUGGAUGUCUCGAAAGAUCCCCUCGGGUUCACCAACAGGAGUUGUCCUCGCCUUCUACACUGCAGGCUGUGGUUGCAUCGCAGCCGUCGUCGCAUUCUCGGCCUGCAUCGUCGCAGUCCGCUGCCCUCCUGUCGGAGCAAGUCACCGGCGGCUCGGCGGGGCGCCCGGACUCUUCUGCAGUACACCUACAACCAGCUGCUAAGGUGGCGUCGCAGCCGCCGUCGUCGACGCGGACGGCAGCGUCUAAGCCGGCUGUUCCCGAGCCGGUGCAGGCUGCCGAUGGUACAGCGCAUGCGGGGUGCCGGCAUCCUGUGGCUACGGUUGAGGCCAAUUGGCAUGCAGCUCAUGUGGAGAUACCCAUGCAUGCACGUACUGGGGUAGUGGAGCUACCCAUGCAUGCAUGUAGUGAACCUGGACGUGAAGGGCUACCCCCAAGUGUGCAGCCGUGCAUAGCUGCACCCGCGGCUGCCCUUCGGUCUCUGUCCGCGCCGGACGAGUCCGCGGCCGCUCCUCAGUCUCAGGCGGAGCCGGACGUGUCUUCCUCAUCCAUGCACGCUCCUCCAGUCGGGCCAUCUUCGGAAGUGCCGCCGUGUGUUACGGCGGCCGAGACUGCCGGGGAGGUGGUUGCUACUACACCCACAUCCCCCCCUCCAGUGGCGGUGCUUGCGCGACACCCUUCACCAAGAAUGACACCUACACGCCGAAGUGGCCGUCAUGCGGUGGCCGACGAUGGAAGGAUGGACAUUGACGAGAACUCUUUGGUCAAGGCUAUGCGGCGUAAAGCGGCGCAGAACCUCGACAACCAAGGUUACUCCACGAGUUUCUAG
RNAcentral lists this ribosomal RNA (1971 nucleotides) under Triticum aestivum (bread wheat). RNAcentral's name for it is "partial small subunit ribosomal RNA". The record is from RNAcentral. Lineage: Eukaryota; Viridiplantae; Streptophyta; Magnoliopsida; Poales; Poaceae.